CGCCGCCCGCCCUCCCAGGCCGCCCCAAACUUUGAGGGGAAAGCGGGCAAUUCUGGCAGUGAUGUGCCAGCAUCUAUCACAGAGCACAUCAAGGAACAGACCAAGACCGUGAAGAGCGCGUUGAACCGCUGUCCUGCCAAAGGAUGCCAAGUUUCACUCUCGAUGGGCAAACAUGGAGUCCCAUAGUAAAACAGUCUCAUUCCUUGGAAGGAAUAAGAUUCACAGCGUCUGGCAACCCUCCGAUGAUUACCAAGGAGGUCACCAUAGCCAUAUGGAUGAUCCAAAUGCAGCUGAACUUAAUGCUUUGAUUUAUCUGCCAGUUGACGCCUCCAGCCAUACUUGUGGUUCACUUAUGUUGCACUAAAUUAGUUUCUGGUGUAGCUUUUAGUUUUCACUGUCAAGACUGCCUUUGCUUAUUGCCUAUAGAGGAGGACUCAGACUUUUUACAGUUAUGACUACGGAUAACCAAAACACAGCUCCCGAUCAUCAUCUUGUGUUUUAAAUGUAGUCAGGCUGUGUUAUGACAAGGAGAAGAGUAUGUGAUAGUUGCAUACGCAUACUCGAACAGAAGCAGAUCUUCACGUGGUCUAAUCAGAGUACCCAGGAGAAUUCCAUUGGCUCCAGUAAUAUUGACUGACCCUAUCACUUUGAGUAAUGAAAUAAAAUUAGUAAGAGGAAAACAAAGUGAAUAUUAAUAAUAAUGAUUUGUAUCAUAGUGGCAUGAGUAGACACAGAUCUGAAUUCUCUAGUGGAAGGUGCUGUCCAAACGCCAUGCAGAGAGUUUACCCAGUUCCCGAAAAGCAAAAUCAGAAAAUAGGUUUAAUGGUGAAGCAAUAUCAGAAAAUAUGCCUAAUGGUAAAAUUUAUUAGAGUCUGGAAAAUUAAAUUCAUGAGGGAGGUUACGGAAACCUCACAGAUUGGGUAAGGGUGUAAUUUUCUAUUAAAUUGCUAAGUGGAAAAUCCCAGAGGCAAUCAAUAUGCUACUUUUGGAAUUUUCCUAAACUUCUCUGUAAGACUUUGUGAAAGGAAACUGGGCUAACAUACUAUUUAAAAUCCUGUAUUAUAUAUUUUUGGGUGAAUGCUGAAACAGCAAAGGUAGAUGGAUGUCAUAUGCUGUUUGCUAAAUUAUAUGGGUCCAAUUAAUCUCUGGUACAGUGCAGUGAAGUCAGGUUUGAGAUGCAGAAGCAGUGUUCCUAAGUUUUGUGUACAAAAAAGAGUAUAUUUUUUUUUCCCAAACAGUCUGCUGAUUCCUGUCUGCUAACUUUAUUUACCAGACUUAAAGCAUUGCUGAAACUGUUGUAUGACUCUCAUCCUUACUGGGACAAUAGGAGAAUUUUAUGAAACAUAAGGCCUUCAUUUACUGGUCAACUCACAUGAUAAGCUUUAUCCUGCUUUUGCCAAAGGAAUGUGAUACAAAAAUAAAAAGGUCUUUUCUCUUUUC
This is a long non-coding RNA of Cygnus olor (mute swan), 1440 nucleotides long. RefSeq lists it as uncharacterized. The record is from RefSeq and is a predicted model, not a curated record. The transcript has 2 exons. NCBI's taxonomy places the organism in Eukaryota, Metazoa, Chordata, Aves, Anseriformes, Anatidae.